This 272-nucleotide long non-coding RNA is filed under the name Setaria italica (foxtail millet). RNAcentral's name for it is "long non-coding RNA (SITA_LNC007294)". The record is from RNAcentral. Lineage: Eukaryota; Viridiplantae; Streptophyta; Magnoliopsida; Poales; Poaceae.
GCAUAUUCUUCCGUCAUCGCGCAUGCACGUCGCAGCAUUGGAUUACUGUAGUCUGUAGAGGCCGACGGUCAGGGCACGGUAUCGUGUAGAAGAAAAUCGAGCUCUGGGGUGGGACGUGGGAAUACCGUGUGCGCGCGCGCGGCGUCAUCUCGGUGGUACGCUCUGGGAUGUCUAACACGCUCCCUGUUUCGGAUAUAGCUGCCGUGGCCAUGUUUCUUUGCUUUCGUUUUUUAAGCAAACGCCGUGUCAGGACUCAGGUUUCAUGCCUGCCG